Molecule: long non-coding RNA, 1283 nt
Organism: Ficedula albicollis (Collared flycatcher)
Lineage: Eukaryota; Metazoa; Chordata; Aves; Passeriformes; Muscicapidae
Exons: 7
Source: RefSeq, a predicted model, not a curated record
CAGAAGCUUAGUGCACUUUGUAGUAUUGGCAUAAGCCAUUGGCUCUAGGCAGUGGGUUACUCUUGCUAAUCUGAAAUAGGUGGUUAACAGGCUGUUUCAGUUGAGCUGUCUCUGACCAAGAGGGUAUCCUGUUCAUCCUGUGGAAGAGUACAAACUCCACCCCUGGAUACGGAGAAUGGUGCUACAGUAUGAGUAUGGACAAGCAUAUUGCCUUCUGCCCAUAGCACAGCUCCUGUGUGUCUCAAAGAGAGCUUCCCUGAAUGAGCAAAGGCAAAGCCUCACCUUUGCUGCAGAAGGUUCAGCGCUUGGAAGAAGUGGAACAAAAUACAACAGAAAUCCUUAGGUGUGAUUUCCUCUUGGUAAAAAAACAACUGAAAUGAACUGAAAUUCAGCUCCUCCAUUUACAUGAUGAAACAAAGUAAGAACUAGGCAACGUAGACUAACAAGUACAUGGCUGAAUCUGGAAGGAACAGAAGAUAAAAGAGACCUCUGCAAGUCAGAACCCACCAUAGACAAAAUUCUGGAGCAAAGAUCAGCUACAUCAGACCUCCAGAUUUUGGCAACCAUGACACGAAAAGAACUGUGUGGGACUGGGAUUAGAAGAGGUUGUUGUGCCACAAGAGAAGUCAUGAGUGUCUUGAGGAAAUGUCAAGCUCCUUGGUGGUAACCGGAUUCACCAAUUCUGCUGGAACAUGAUUUUCUCUGCCGUAUCUGUCAAAAACCAAAUUGCUUAAGGAAGGUGAGAAGGGAAUUUGCAUUCCCAAAGUUCAAUCAAAGAAAAGAGCUCUGCGCAUGCUGCCUCCUUAGCCUGGCAUUGGAUUGUGGACCGAGUACCAGCAGAGCCCAGGUUUGUUCGGGGGAGCUGUGACUGAUUAUCAACAAUGAUGGACCUGAUUACUCCUACAGCCUGAGGAGACCUGCAAGGGGAUUGACACUGGAGGACAGAAAAUGCUCGUGGCACAGAGCAACGUGUUUGCAUGAGACAACACUUUCAGCAAACUUCAGCACCAGGGUCUGCUUUGUCAUGCUGUUGGAUUUCAGUUGCUGUGGAUGAACCAGUGAUCACUGCCACCAUUUUUCACAGUCUGGGGAGGAUAAGGCCUGAUGACUGAAGACAAGGAAGUUGAAAAAGGAAGCAACUACUUGGUCCUGUCUUAAUUCUGAAAACUUUGCUGAUAUUUGUGUUCCUACACCAUGUACUCCAUGUGUAUGCUGGCAUGGUUCUUGUUGAUGCUCAGACUAAUAUUAAUCAAUACAGUCGAUUGUUGUGUGUCUGAACAUAU